Non-coding RNA from Chytriomyces sp. MP71, 73 nucleotides. Lineage: Eukaryota; Fungi; Chytridiomycota; Chytridiomycetes; Chytridiales; Chytriomycetaceae. The record is from the annotation of a GenBank genome assembly.
GCCUGAUUAGCUCAGUGGUUAGAGCACCCGCCUUUUAAGCGGGUGGUCGCGGGUUCGACCCCCGCAUUAGGCU